AGUAACUGCGAGUGAAGCGGCAAAAGCUCAAAUUUGAAAUCUGGCACAAGCCCGAGUUGUAAUUUGCAGAGGAUGCUUCGACGUCGGACGCCGGCUUAAGUUUUCUGGAACGAAGCGUCAUAGAGGGUGAGAACCCCGUGAAUGGUUGGCCGUUUUGACGUCAUAUGUAGCUCCUUCAACGAGUCGAGUUGUUUGGGAAUGCAGCUCUAAGUGGGAGGUAAAUUUCUUCUAAGGCUAAAUAUAGGCCAGAGACCGAUAGCGAACAAGUAGAGUGAUCGAAAGAUGAAAAGCACUUUGAAAAGAGGGUUAAAAAGUACGUGAAAUUGUUGAAAGGGAAGCGCUUGCGGUCAGACUUGCUCGUGAUUGCUCAAUUCAUCGUCGUGGUGAGUGUAAUCAAUCUUGAGCAGGCCAACAUCAGUUUGGGCGGUGAGAUAAUGGCUCGGAAAAUGUAGCUUUCUCUCGGGAAAGUGUUAUAGUUCCGGGUGUCAUGUCACCAGUCUAGACUGAGGAUAGCGUCUUUGACUAGGAUGUUGGCGUAAUGGCCGUAAGCGACCCGUC
RNAcentral lists this ribosomal RNA (558 nucleotides) under Herpomyces periplanetae. Its description in RNAcentral is "partial large subunit ribosomal RNA". It matches the Rfam family "Eukaryotic large subunit ribosomal RNA", at positions 82 to 653 of the family's 3401-position model. The record is from RNAcentral. Lineage: Eukaryota; Fungi; Ascomycota; Laboulbeniomycetes; Herpomycetales; Herpomycetaceae.